This 497-nucleotide ribosomal RNA is filed under the name uncultured bacterium. RNAcentral describes it as "partial 16S ribosomal RNA". It matches the Rfam family "Bacterial small subunit ribosomal RNA", at positions 28 to 507 of the family's 1533-position model. The record is from RNAcentral.
GAUGAACGCUGGCGGCGUGCCUAAUACAUGCAAGUCGAGCGAACGGACGAGGAGCUUGCUCCUCUGACGUUAGCGGCGGACGGGUGAGUAACACGUGGAUAACCUACCUAUAAGACUGGGAUAACUUCGGGAAACCGGAGCUAAUACCGGAUAAUAUUUUGAACCGCAUGGUUCAAUAGUGAAAGACGGUCUUGCUGUCACUUAUAGAUGGAUCCGCGCUGCAUUAGCUAGUUGGUAAGGUAACGGCUUACCAAGGCAACGAUGCAUAGCCGACCUGAGAGGGUGAUCGGCCACACUGGAACUGAGACACGGUCCAGACUCCUACGGGAGGCGGCAGUAGGGAAUCUUCCGCAAUGGGCGAAAGCCUGACGGAGCAACGCCGCGUGAGUGAUGAAGGUCUUCGGAUCGUAAAACUCUGUUAUUAGGGAAGAACAUAUGUGUAAGUAACUGUGCACAUCUUGACGGUACCUAAUCAGAAAGCCACGGCUAACUACGUG